GCUUUACUGUAGCCUGGUAUUGGGUUCGGGCUCUGAUUGCGCAGGAUAGGUGGGAGGCUAAGAGAGUGCCCUUGUGGGGGUGCUGGAGCCAACGGUGAGAUACCACUCUAUCAGAGCUAGAAUUCUAACCCUGUGCCGUGAUCCGGCUGGGGAACAGUAUCAGGUGGGCAGUUUGACUGGGGCGGUCGCCUCCUAAAAGGUAACGGAGGCGCGCAAAGGUUCUCUCAGGCUGGUUGGAAAUCAGCCGUAGAGUGUAAAGGCAGAAGAGAGCUUGACUGUGAGACCAACAAGUCGAACAGGGACGAAAGUCGGCCUUAGUGAUCCGACGGCACCGCGUGGAAGGGCCGUCGCUAAACGGAUAAAAGUUA
RNAcentral lists this ribosomal RNA (368 nucleotides) under Tildeniella nuda ZEHNDER 1965/U140. Its description in RNAcentral is "partial 23S ribosomal RNA". It matches the Rfam family "Bacterial large subunit ribosomal RNA", at positions 2098 to 2465 of the family's 2925-position model. The record is from RNAcentral. Lineage: Bacteria; Bacillati; Cyanobacteriota; Cyanophyceae; Oculatellales; Oculatellaceae.